This 583-nucleotide ribosomal RNA is filed under the name uncultured bacterium. RNAcentral describes it as "bacterial SSU rRNA". It matches the Rfam family "Bacterial small subunit ribosomal RNA", at positions 55 to 645 of the family's 1533-position model. The record is from RNAcentral.
AUGCAAGUCGAACGGGACCCGCGCGGUAGCAAUAUCGGGCGGGUUCAGUGGCGCACGGGUGCGUAACACGUGAGCAAUCUGCCAGGAAGUGGGGGAUAGCUCGCCGAAAGGCGAAUUAAUACCGCAUGUGGCCAGGAAGGACAUCCUUCCAAAGCCAAAGUCGCAAGACGCUUCCUGAUGAGCUCGCGGCCUAUCAGCUAGUUGGCGGGGUAACGGCCCACCAAGGCUCUGACGGGUAGCUGGUCUGAGAGGACGACCAGCCACACUGGAACUGAGACACGGUCCAGACACCUACGGGUGGCAGCAGUCGAUAAUUUUUCACAAUGGGGGAAACCCUGAUGGAGCGACGCCGCGUGGAGGACGAACGCCUUCGGGUUGUACACUCCUGUCAUGCGGGAACAAGACAGUGAUAGUACCGCAAGAGGAAGAGACGGCUAUCUCUGUGCCAGCAGCCGCGGUAAUACAGAGGUCUCAAGCGUUGUUCGGAUUCAUUGGGCGUAAAGGGUGCGUAGGUGGCGGCGCAAGUCUGGUGUGAAAUCUCGGGGCUCAACCCCGAAAUGGCACCGGAUACUGCGUCGCUCGA